Molecule: long non-coding RNA, 1455 nt
Organism: Oncorhynchus tshawytscha (Chinook salmon)
Lineage: Eukaryota; Metazoa; Chordata; Actinopteri; Salmoniformes; Salmonidae
Exons: 3
Source: RefSeq, a predicted model, not a curated record
ACCAAGACCCAAUUCUGGGUAACACAUCUCAACACAUGCGCACAUUGGAACGGGGCGACAGGCUCCGCAGCCUUGGCCAUUUGCUAAAUGUACCUUUUGCCAUUCCUCUGUAUCGGUCGAGGAACUUGACACUAUUCGGGCUGGCGGGGACGCGCUCUCGCGUUGUCCUCUCUGCGCGCUCCCGUGCCACCUUCAGUUCCAGUUGCUGUAGUUUCCUCCGCAAUGUCCUGGUUUCUUUCUGGCUUUGAGUUACUUCCAAACGAAACACUGCAUAGUCGUCGUCUACGAGUUUACAGAUUUCUGCAACGGCUGCAUUCGCUAGCACCUCCAUGAUGGAGGCUAUUUGAGUGUGAAAAACCAUAACGUUGCAGUUCGCCAUUGUUAGCUAAUGUUAACCAGAUAACGUCUAUCAACCAAAUUCUGUCUCCAACGCGAAUUAAACACUACCUAGGGUGAACUCCAAUCAAGUUGUACCAAUGGAAACAGGAUGCACCUGAGCUCAAAUUUCAAAACAAAAGGUCUAAAUACUUAUUUACAUAAGUUCACCUCAUCAUGCAGUUCCCUACUACAUCCAAAACCAACAGAAUUAACUACAAACUAGCACUACAUGGAAGGAUGUGGACUGUAGUGUGAGGGGAUGACAGAGGCUCGCCUCAUAGGAGACUGUUGCCGAUUACUGCCCAGGUGUGGUGGUCUCUCAAGCACUUAUUGCUGCCGAUGCAUCACCCAGGUGGUGGAUGUUCCAGCCUACCUACAGAGGAGGAGGUGGUGUGUACUGCAGAGACAGAUGUGCCUGAUAAAGCUCCGGGCCUGUCUGACUGAUGUCUCCCUGUACCAUCAACGCCGAUUCCAGUCAAGCUACUCCUUUACUGAACUGCAUUGUCAUCUAGCUGUGACCCUCUUCCAUGAACUGCCAGCUCCCUGAAUUUGUUUUAGUUUGUUUUUUAAAAGUGGUAGGUUCUGUAUGAGAAGUGCUAUAUGAAAUAUCAAUGGGCUGUGUGCAUUUUCUGCUGGUAUAUCCUGAGGUAGCUCCUGCUCAGCUGGUUUCUCUGUGGGUUCAGGAAGAGGUGUAGUCUGGUUGUCCCCCAUGACCAUGGUCCCCUCAGGGUUCCCCUGACCCUCCACACACCCCUCCUCCUGGAAGAGAGCGGUGAUACAGAUUACACAGACAUACACUCACUCAGAUAAACACACUUUCAACAUGGCGUGUUUACCCACCCCCACUAUGUUAGUCCUAUUUAUCUAGUCCUAUACUGUAGUUACAGAAUGACAUUAUGGUGGACAUAUGAGUCAGCUAUGAUAAGUGAAAAUUCCUCAGACAAACGCGACUGAACUAUUUUGAUGUGUGUGUAGAUAUUUCAGUAAGUAUGGUAAAGCGCUGAUGUGUAUGCAGAAUAAGGUGAGAUCAGAUGGGACACAUAUUAAAGGGAGUCUCAUAUAAAGUCUUAAUGAAAA